Molecule: small nucleolar RNA, 153 nt
Organism: Pipistrellus kuhlii (Kuhl's pipistrelle)
Lineage: Eukaryota; Metazoa; Chordata; Mammalia; Chiroptera; Vespertilionidae
Product: small nucleolar RNA SNORA49
Exons: 1
Source: RefSeq, a predicted model, not a curated record
UACUAUAAGAUCACUCAGAAUGAACAUAGUGAGAGUGACAUUAUUAUUAGAAUAACCUACAAUUGGCAUUGCCUUGGGGUACAUGAAAAAAUCACAGAUCCCUCUCCAGGAAGACACAAUUUUCUUGUGGGACCUAUGGAUUGGGCCAACAAA